ACCUAGUCCAUCAGGGCUGGGAAAGCAUGGCAGAGCAGAACAGCUCACAGCAUGGUGGCAGGAGUCUGUGACACAGGAGCCAUUCACUCCAUGGCCAGCCAGAGAGCAGAGAAAGGAGUCUAGGCAUCAGAGGACAGCAACCCCAAACAACAUCUGAUCUGGAGAUUUGAGGAGAGCAAAGCAAAGCAAAAAAAUAAAAAAAUAAAAUAAACAUAUUUGAAAAUGGUCACAA
Long non-coding RNA from Mastomys coucha (southern multimammate mouse), 232 nucleotides. RefSeq lists it as uncharacterized. The record is from RefSeq and is a predicted model, not a curated record. Lineage: Eukaryota; Metazoa; Chordata; Mammalia; Rodentia; Muridae. The transcript has 2 exons.